GGUUCCCCACAGAGAAGAGGCCCUCUGACCUCAGGCUCCGAUGAAGAAAAUGUUGCCCUGCCUCUGGGUGACAGUGUGCUGACUCAUAACCUGGGGAUCCCGGUGUUGGUGGUGUGCACAAAGUGUGAUGCGGUGAGUGUCCUGGAGAAGGAGCACGAUUACAGGGAUGAGCAUUUGGACUUUAUCCAGUCACACCUGCGGAGGUUCUGCCUUCAGUUGAAAGAAGAGAAAAACCUCGACUUGUUGUAUAAGUAUAUUGUUCAUAAAACAUACGGUUUCCACUUCACCACACCUGCCUUAGUUGUGGAAAAGGAUGCCGUUUUUAUACCUGCAGGCUGGGACAAUGAAAAGAAAAUAGCUAUUUUACAUGAAAAUUUUACAACCGUGAAGCCGGAAGAUGCAUAUGAAGACUUUAUUGUGAAACCUCCCGUGAGAAAGCUGGUCCACGACAAAGAGUUGGCAGCAGAAGAUGAGCAGGUGUUCCUAAUGAAGCAACAGUCACUCCUUGCCAAGCAACCAGCCACGCCCACGAGAGCUUCUGUGAGUACCUUACACUAAACAGAGGGUCAAGGCCCAGUGUUGUGGGUGUCAUCAAACUUUAUACCAUUAUUUGUGAGAGCGUAUAUUUGUGUGGGUUUUGUAUUUUCAGUGGGAAUUUGGUUUCCCUAAAGACCCAUGACCAGAAACAUAAAGGAAACUCAAGAAGUUUCUGAUGAAAGAAUACAACUCUGGGAAUUACAGUGA
This 744-nucleotide small RNA is filed under the name Pan troglodytes (chimpanzee). RNAcentral describes it as "retained intron". The record is from RNAcentral. Lineage: Eukaryota; Metazoa; Chordata; Mammalia; Primates; Hominidae.